Molecule: transfer RNA, 95 nt
Filed under: Helcobacillus massiliensis
Lineage: Bacteria; Bacillati; Actinomycetota; Actinomycetes; Micrococcales; Dermabacteraceae
Also listed under: 1 other name
Description: tRNA-SeC(tca)
Rfam family: Selenocysteine transfer RNA
Source: RNAcentral
GGAGGCGUCUGGGUCCUGGUGGGCUCCGCAGUCUUCAAAACUGUUGAAACCGAGCAUCUCGGUUUGGCAGGUUCGAUUCCUGUCCGUCUCCGCCA